GCCGGCAUCGCGCCUGGCAGGCGCUGGGCCUGUUGCUGCUGGGCCUGCUGUCGUUGUGGGCCGGCAUGCUGGUGCC
This 76-nucleotide transfer RNA is filed under the name Xanthomonas sp. SI. RNAcentral describes it as "tRNA-Ser". Lineage: Bacteria; Pseudomonadati; Pseudomonadota; Gammaproteobacteria; Lysobacterales; Lysobacteraceae. The record is from RNAcentral.